RNAcentral lists this ribosomal RNA (253 nucleotides) under uncultured bacterium. Its description in RNAcentral is "partial 16S ribosomal RNA". It matches the Rfam family "Bacterial small subunit ribosomal RNA", at positions 524 to 776 of the family's 1533-position model. The record is from RNAcentral.
UACGAGGGGGGCAAGCGUUGCUCGGAAUUAUUGGGCGUAAAGGGUAGGUAGGUGGUCUUAUUUGUCUGGGGUGAAAGCCUUGGGCUUAACUCAAGAAGUGCCCCAGAAACGGUAAGACUAGAGUCCUGGAGAGGGUCGUGGAAUUCCCGGUGUAGCGGUGAAAUGCGUAGAGAUCGGGAGGAACACCAGAGGCGAAGGCGGCGACCUGGACAGGCACUGACACUCAAAUACGAAAGCGUGGGGAGCAAACAGG